UACGAAGGGGGCUAGCGUUGUUCGGAAUUACUGGGCGUAAAGCGCACGUAGGCGGAUCGAUCAGUCAGGGGUGAAAUCCCAGGGCUCAACCCUGGAACUGCCUUUGAUACUGUCGAUCUGGAGUAUGGAAGAGGUGAGUGGAAUUCCGAGUGUAGAGGUGAAAUUCGUAGAUAUUCGCAAGAACACCAGUGGCGAAGGCGGCUCACUGGCCCGUUACUGACGCUGAGGCACGAAAGCGUGGGGAGCAAACAGG
Molecule: ribosomal RNA, 253 nt
Filed under: uncultured bacterium
Lineage: Bacteria
Description: partial 16S ribosomal RNA
Rfam family: Bacterial small subunit ribosomal RNA
Source: RNAcentral